Molecule: long non-coding RNA, 982 nt
Organism: Amyelois transitella
Lineage: Eukaryota; Metazoa; Arthropoda; Insecta; Lepidoptera; Pyralidae
Exons: 2
Source: RefSeq, a predicted model, not a curated record
CUCCUAAGACCCCUUGUACAAAUUUUUGCACAAAAUAAAUGUCGUCAUUCAGUCCCGGAAAGAUUGCAACUUUCAUAGUGGUGUAGUCCCAGCGUACAAAUUUUUGAACAUAUUUUUCAAUUGUCCCGCACUUUUAUUUUUGAAGUCAGAUGUAAAAAUUUGACAGCUACGCGUCUAUGGACAGGAUUGGCGAUUCGUUUCGCAAUGCAACCAACAAAAAAAACAGAAAGCUAUCAAAAUAAUUUGUGAGUGUCGGUCGAAGAUGGCGCAUAGACAGCGAAGAACUUUACAGAUCUUCGUGAUAAAGAAAUAAUAAAUUACCUAAACGAAUCUGAGUUUGAAGAUGACAGCGGCGAUGAAUAUUCCGCAGAUCCCGUUGCUUUUCAAAGAAAUUUUUCUAGUUCCGAAUCUUCAGACGAAGAGACCAUACAACAUCUAGCACCACCAAAACUUCCUAAUCGACCAAGUCGUGGAAGUAGUCGUAGUCAUGGGCUCAAAGCAACAGAGGACGGAGUCCAUCAAGAAGAGGUUCCCGAACUCGUUGAGGGUAUCCAGGAAGAAGUUCGUCAAAUAAUGACAGCGCGUCGUCAUCUUCGACUAACACCCAACGCGAAUGGAUUUUUGUUUCUAUUACUUAAAAGACUGUUUCUAGAAGUUUUGAUUAUUUACGUUCAUAUUUCGAAUAAAUAAUUAUAUGAAAUGUUGAAUUUAUUAUUUAUUACCCAAAAAGUUUUAUUACAGAUUGAAACCGAAUGUGCAAUUUUUUGAACAAAAGAUGGCUGCUUUAAACCUUUGCCAUUCUAUUCCGAAAGACAUAUAUAAUAUGUAAAAAAAAUCAAAAAGUCAAAAUUUCUGGUGUAAAUAAAUAUAUAACAAAAACAAUGUCUCGGACUGAAGGCCAAUAUUUUAUUUGUGCAAAAUUUUGUACAGUGGGACUAAAUCAUUACGAGUAAUGUUUUUAUCGGGGUCUUAGGAGGAUAUA